Molecule: long non-coding RNA, 1099 nt
Organism: Sarcophilus harrisii (Tasmanian devil)
Lineage: Eukaryota; Metazoa; Chordata; Mammalia; Dasyuromorphia; Dasyuridae
Exons: 3
Source: RefSeq, a predicted model, not a curated record
ACCCAGAACUAUUAGUUUGAAAGGAAGUUAGAGUAAGUAGUUUUGUAGACCAGCAAAUGAAAAUGGAAAUCUAUUCACGACACACCAAUGUGAUCUUGCGUUAGAUUUUCCCCUAUUCACUGUUAGUAGGGAACUGGGAAGUGGAGUGGGAAGGACACAUCGGAGAGACUCCCAAGGAUUCAUUCAAACAGAUGACUACCUGCUGCUUCACUUGGACCAAAAUGAUAAUGACAGAAGCAACCCAAGAAGCAUUGUCUAAGAAUAAAAAGUCAUGGGAGAGAAACUAUAGGCAAUAAGGACGCAGAUCAUGUUUUCCUCAUGGAUAUCCAUUAAAGUUCAGGAGGAGGCGGGGUGAAGAAAUGGCAAAGCAAGGCCAAGAAGGAAGCUACCAAGGCAAGCAAUCUGGUAUCAUUAAUGUAAGAGCUGUCAAGAAUCUAGCUUGUAAUAACUGGAACAAACAGAGCCUUUUCUGGGACGGAACCUAAAGAUUCAGCAGCAAGCAGGAAAAUGACAUUUACAUUGAGAUAUAAAUUGCAGACAGUGACACUAGUCAUUUAUGAAAGAUGGGUUUAUUUUGGUUGUGGGAAAAAUAAGUUGAAACCCUAUACUUUAUUUUCAAUGGCAAGUCCCAUCACAAUCCAGUUCAAAUUGUGGCCUGUACCUGACACAUCCAGGGCAUUUUUGGUGUUAAAAUGUGCUUGUUAAUACAGGGAAACAGGAAGCCUGCAUAAAAUGAAAACCAAAUAAGAUGAAGGAUUUGUAAAUUCUGUCAGGAAAUCCAUUGCUCCUAGUGCAUCUUGAAUUAUUUGCAUCAGAAUCACAACCAGGGCUGAGAAGAGAUUUUGGCUAAUGGAAUUAAGAAAAUAUGGCCUAGUCAAUGAACUGAAAACUGGCCAGAAUUGGAAAGGACUAGGACUGAGUUGUACCUCUGCUUCUUGCUGGCUAUGGGGCUCUGGCCAGUUCUAUUCACCAGCAAGAGCCUCUGGCAACUCCUGAAAUCAUAAACUGCAGAACUCACAUGGAUAGAGGGGAGUUUCCUUACUGGAGGUGCCCAUUAACAAUGAAAUCAUGUCCAUUUUACAAAUAAAUAAGAAUUCGC